UACGUAGGGGGCAAGCGUUAUCCGGAAUCACUGGGUGUAAAGGGAGCGUAGACGGCUGAGCAAGCCUGAAGUGAAAGGCGGGGGCCCAACCCCGGAACUGCUCUGGAAACUGUGCGGCUAGAGUACUGGAGGGGCAGGCGGAAUUCCUAGUGUAGCGGUGAAAUGCGUAGAUAUUAGGAGGAACACCAGUGGCGAAGGCGGCUCUCUGGUCUGCAACUGACGCUGAGGCUCGAAAGCAUGGGUAGCGAACAGG
Molecule: ribosomal RNA, 253 nt
Filed under: uncultured Lachnospiraceae bacterium
Lineage: Bacteria; Bacillati; Bacillota; Clostridia; Lachnospirales; Lachnospiraceae
Description: partial 16S ribosomal RNA
Rfam family: Bacterial small subunit ribosomal RNA
Source: RNAcentral